Betta splendens (Siamese fighting fish) is the source of this 5625-nucleotide RNA transcript. It is a transcript of the gene named carbonic anhydrase Xa, with no coding region annotated. Lineage: Eukaryota; Metazoa; Chordata; Actinopteri; Anabantiformes; Osphronemidae. The transcript is spliced from 10 exons. The record is from RefSeq and is a predicted model, not a curated record.
GUCCCUUGCAGUGACAGCCAGAAGUCUCGGAGAGACUCGCCACCUGCCGAGUUUUACUGAGUUCCUGAGGCGUCUCUAGGUGUCAUUCCGAUCCCACGGAUGUUCCGCCUCAUUUCUCUACGUAGUCUCCGUUCUCUUUUUUCCACUGGAUCGAGCAUGUUUGACUUUCCGUGGUAACAACAGGAUGAUAAACUGCGCCAGAUGAAUGGACGUAUUCGUUGUAAGGCGCACUGGAAUAAUAGUGAACUGAGAGAGGACCAGUGUAGCUGCUCGGUUGUUUUUGCCUGGAGUUCAUCUGUUCUUUAUCGUCUCUGGAAUUGUUGGACUCAUUGCUAGGAACGGUUAACGCUGUUUUUUCCACAGACCGUUAUCACCCUGCUAUGUGUCUGGUGUGGAAAAUAUCAAGUAGUAGGUGUAAAGCGGGAUACAACCGAAAAGAACACGACAUGUGUUACUGAUUCCUAGGUUACUAUAUUAACCUGUGCGUGAUGUGCGUGGAAUGAAAACAGAGGAUGGAUAUCAUUUGGGAACUACUGACCAUUCUUCAAGCCAGUUUUAUUGUGUGCAUAUCAGCACAGCCAAAUCUGCCAAAAAUUCAUGAAGGAUGGUGGGCGUACAAGGAGGUGGUGCAGGGUAGCUUUGUUCCAGUGCCGUCAUUCUGGGGUUUGGUGAACUCAGCCUGGAACCUGUGCUCUGUGGGAAAGAGGCAGUCACCGGUUAACAUUGAGACGAGCCACAUGAUAUUUGACCCCUUCCUCACACCUAUAAAGUUAAACACAGGUGGACGCAAGAAUAAAGGACACUGUUUCCACCUGGGACUAACCUCUCACGACCACCUCAUCACAUCAUCUGCUUGUAUCCAAGCUACAGUGGGAGGGACAAUGUAUAACACAGGCCGCCAUGUCUCUUUGCGACUGGACAAAGAGCAUCUGGUUAACAUCUCUGGAGGCCCUAUGACAUACAGCCAUCGUCUAGAGGAGAUCCGGCUACACUUCGGCAGCGAGGACGGUCAGGGGUCCGAACACCUGUUGAAUGGACAGGCUUUCUCUGGAGAGGUUCAACUGAUCCACUACAAUCAUGAGCUGUACACAAAUUACACAGAAGCUGUAAAAAGCCCCAAUGGACUAGUCAUAGUGUCCAUAUUCAUGAAGAUUGCAGAAACAUCAAACUCAUUUCUGAAUCGGAUGCUGAACAGGGAUACCAUCACAAGAAUAACAUAUAAGAAUGACGCAUAUCUACUGACUGGCCUGAACAUAGAGGAGGUUUACCCUGAGACCAGUAGUUUUAUUACAUAUGAUGGCUCCAUGACAAUCCCUCCAUGCUUUGAGACAGCCACAUGGAUCCUGAUGAACAAGCCAGUGUACCUCACACGCAUGCAGGUAUUAUCAGCUUCAUUGCUGCCAAGUCAUCUUGGGUGAAGUGGGGAAUCUGCUGAUGAGAGAACGUGUGUUUUAUGGAUCAUUAGUUCAAACAAGCAGCAGUCAAAUUAACAUCAGAAGACCAAGGACAACCCAGGAAAAACAGCCGGGACAGAACGGUGAAAUGAGCACCUAUUAAGUAAUAUCGGCUGGUUGUAUAUCCUCACAGAGACUCCAUGAGGGGACAACGGUCUUGUUUUGCCAGCCACUAAAAGAAGAUGAAGAAAAGAAAAGGGUUUUGGCCCAAUCAAUCUGUGGCUUUAUAACAACUGUUUGCUUUGAUUCAAAAUAAAAAGUUGCUGAACGACUUAGAAACUAUGUCUUUAUUCAAACACGCUUAUAUGUAUAUUUUAUAACCUUUUGUUAAAAAUAUAAAGCGAUGUCUGAGCGUCUUUGAUCUGGCGAUAUUUUCGAUAAGUUUAAGAAAUCUACUUCCGGUAGUGCAAAUCUACUUCCAGGUCAGCACAGAAACUACAACAUGGAAGUGUGGAAGCCGUUCAUAGAAUUUUAUUUUGAGCUGAGUCUCAAAUACAGAGACAUUAAAUCACUGCUUGGAAGUAAACACAAUUUUUACCUGAGCGAGAGGCACCUUAAAAGAAAACUUAACAAAAUGGGCUAUUCUGGGCUUAAAACCUACUCCGACGCUUGGUUGAUUUUGUUAGCAACAAACUGCAGUACUCUGGGCAACUUCACAGGUACCAUUGGAUGUACACUAAAUGCCGAAAACACGGAAUGCGUGUGAGAAAGGAAGAUGUGCGCAUGGUUUUGAAGGAGGUAAUCUUGGAACUGAGAAUGGAUACGUCAGAGGUUUUCAGCAUUUCCUUCGUCCUGCUCACCCAGAUGAUACCCUUGAGAGUUACCUGGAGGGAGCCAGCACUGCCAAUCAUCCAUCCAUCCAUCCAUUUUCUUAACCGCUUACUCCCUAGUGCGGGGUCACGGGGGUGCUGGAGCCUAUCCCAGCUGGCUACGGGCGAGAGGCAGGGUACACCCUGGACAGGUCGCCAGUCCAUCGCAGGGCAACACAUAGACAGACAACCAUUCACUCACACACUCACACCUACGGGCAAUGGAGAGAAGCCAAUCAACCUAAUGCACGUCUUUGGACUGUGGGAGGAAGCCGGAGGACCCGGAGAGAACCCACGCAAACACGGGGAGAACGUGCAAACUCCACACAGAAAGGCACCAGGUCCGCCUCCGGGAAUCGAACCCAGAACCUUCUUGCUGUGAGGCGACAGUGCUACCCACCGCACCACCGUGCCGCCCACUGCCAAUCAAAGAAUUAAAUAUUGGUGGGGCUUUCUUUAUAGCCAGUGCGUACAAUUCUUCUGGACAAAAGUCUCAUUCAGUUCUGUUGCACGGGACUUAUCCAGGUGAGUUAAUGUAUUCGCAUGUUUUCAUGUUUUUUGUUUUAUGUGCAUAUUUGUGAGAGAGGAGGAGUAGGAACUGAAAAAAGCAACAGAGAGGAAUGGAGGGGGAGAGGCCGAUGAGACGAGGGGGUAGAGCAAAGAGAGGAAUACAUUUACAUAAAUAUUGUGUGUAAAUAAAAUAAUCUAGUGCUGUGGUCAGAUUUAUAUGUAUGUUUGGGAUCAUAAAUUGUCUGCAUAAAUCUAUUUGUCGUUUUUAACAGGAUGAGCUAGAAGACACCGUACAGGUCUGGAACGCACAAACCAUCAGGCCCCAGCGGUCGACCCAAUGUGAUAUAUACUUGUGAUAUACUUUGCCUGAACUCUACAGGACAAGAGACUACCUUUCUUUGGUUGAAGAUGAACAUGUUCAACGAUGCAAAAAUGAAUGUGUCUUUUGACUGGCCAUACCAUGCAAUUCAGAUGUAUAUGAACUAUGCAAUAUUUUCAUAGCAGAGUUCCAUCUGACUCUACCAACAAAUCCAUAUCAAGCUGUGUAGAAGUAUUAAGGAUUAAGGAGUAUUCCAGUAUAUCCCAGAGGGAUCAGUGUGUUGAUUUGCUAAAUUGGGUGAGCUGUUAGUGCCACAAGUAUAUCUCUAACUGACAACUUCUGUUUUAUUCUCAAUGUGAAUAAACACAAGGGCUUUGCUGUAAAAAUUAUAGCUAUUUUACGCUUUAUGUAAAUUCCUCUCUACAGGUUGUAUUAACUUCAUUCCUCACUUUUGUAAAGACUGUUUUUUUCGAAAAUAAAUGAAUCCAAUUAGAUUCCAAUAUUUAAUAUUAAUAAUAAUAAUAAUAAAAGUGAAAAGUAUGGCAAUUUAACAGAAAAAAAGGUGGGCUUCUCACCCUAGGAUUCUGCAUCAAAUGUUUCAAAAAAAGACAUAAGAACCAAGAAUGGGCCGGUUAUUAUUGGGCUUGAUCAACAUUGAUUUCUACUUCAAAGGAUGUCCACUUCCCACCACAGAUCUGAGGUGACCCAGGACAGCCUCUCCAGUGUCUUCAUCAUAUGGGAUAUGACAGCCACUGGUCUGAAGCUGCUGAGGUAUUGGGUGUGGGGUGUCUUAGGCACUGGAACCACGCAGGAGGUCUUCCAGAGCCAGAGAUCUUGAGGCUCAGGUUGAUGACAUGCUCCAUAACUCCACACAGUUCAUCUGCACAGGACUUUAGGAGUCUGGAGCUGGUGCCAUCUCGUCUGGCUGCUCUCCUGUCCACAGACAGGUAGUGUCGCAGUAUCAGGGUGGUGUGAAGAGAGGGGUGUUUGCAGGGCUGAUUGUGCAGGGCUUUGUGUAGAGGUGUGAAGGGCUGUGGGGGGUAGUCCAGUCUUCUGAGGCGCUGGUGGUGUGGGGGUUGAGCCAGGUGCCAGUUUGGAAGCAGCUGCUUGCUUGGUCGAACUGAUUGAAGUGUAGGUACAGGCCGUUAACCUAGCUCAGGUCCCCCUUUGCAUGUGAGUGUGGUGCUUUGAAGCCAGAGAUUUUCAGGCUCCUCCACACCUCACUGACGUUCUUCUGCAGCUGCUUCUCCAUCUUCCUCCUGUAUCUGGCCUUCCCCUCACAGAUUUUCCUCCUCAGCUCUUCCUUGUUCCCUAAUCUAAACCGUCUCUUCUUCUCCUUUAGCAGAGCUUGGAUAUCAGAGGUGACCCACGAAUUGUUGUUUGCAAAAUACCGUGUCACCCUGAAGGAAAAAUGUAAACUUAUUGUGUCAGCACAAUGAUGCAUACAUUUUGUUUGCUAAUCUACAGCAAUACAACACAAUCGAUGUUGACACUUUAAUUGAUUACAGUCUUCCCACUUCAUAGUGUAAGUGUCUGAGCAGUCAGUCAAUACAGGUUCAUUGACAAAUAUUUGUAUUUUUGUGUAAACAAAAAUAUUAUAGUUACUUUCCUGAGUGCAGAUGAUAAAACACCUGUUUGUUGGCUAGUCAGGAAGGACAUCCUCAUGACGCUGGACUAUAAAUGUAACACCCAGUUAGCAAUUAUAUUAUUAAUCCACCUCUAAUGACUUGGUAUAAACAUUGCUUAACUUCUGUGAAGCAGACACCCUACUAGUUUUCUCUCUCGUUUUACUUUUGUCAACUUCUUGGCACCAGAACAGACGUCAACUAGUAAGCCAGUUGAGAAACAGUUAUGCUUAAGUUAGCUUACUUUCCACAGGUACAAAAAGUAACCUUCACCCCUAAUGUUAGCUGUGUGUGUGUCUAAACAUGAGUAUGCAGACACAUGUUGUAGCUCCCUCCAAGUUAUUCAACGACACAAGGUGUCACAAGGCAUAAUGCAUAAACAGUUGCACCACUAUAGAUAAACAUGAACCAAUAUUUUACUUGGUGUUUCAGUAAGUUUGCUUCAUCUAAGGCAAAAUGUUGAGCCAGGUGAAAGCAUUAUUUAAAAAAAAAAAAUGAAAUAAUCAAAGAUAACACCCAAAGAUUUUCUAACAGGGGGCGGCACGGUGGUGCGGUGGGUAGCACUGUCGCCUCACAGCAAGAAGGUUCUGGGUUCGAUUGCCGGAGGCGGACCUCGUGCCUUUCUGUGUGGAGUUUGCACGUUUUCCCCGUGUUUGCGUGGGUUCUCUCCGGGUUCUCCGGCUUCCUCCCACAGUCCAAAGACGUGCAUUAGGUUGAUUGGCCUCUCUCCAUUGCCCGUAGGUGUGAGUGUGUGAGUGAAUGGUUGUCUGUCUAUGUGUUGCCCUGCGAUGGACUGGCGACCCGUCCAGGGUGUACCCUGCCUCUCGCCCGUAGCCAGCUGGGAUAGGCUCCAGCACCCCCGUGACCCCGCACUGGGGAGUAAGCGGUUAAGAAAAUGGAUGGAUGGA